CCCUUAGAUGUUCUGGGCUGCACGCGCGCAACACUGAAGCUAUCAACACGUUUUCCCUCCCUGAGAAGGGCGGGUAACCUUUUGAAUCAGCUUCGUGGUAGGGAUCGGGGCUUGCAAUUGUUCCCCGUGAACCAGGAAUUCCUAGUAGACGCGAGUCAUAAGCUCGCAUCGAUUAAGUCCCUGCCCUUUGUACACACCGCCCGUCGCUACUACCGAUUGAACGUUUUAGUGAGGCAUUUGGACCGACGCAUCUCAGUUUAACCGCUGGUUUGUGUUGGAAAGACUUCCAAACUUGAGCGUUUAGAGGAAGUAAAAGUCGUAACA
This 324-nucleotide ribosomal RNA is filed under the name uncultured eukaryote. RNAcentral's name for it is "partial 18S ribosomal RNA". It matches the Rfam family "Eukaryotic small subunit ribosomal RNA", at positions 1470 to 1796 of the family's 1831-position model. The record is from RNAcentral.